This 3650-nucleotide unclassified non-coding RNA is filed under the name Hermetia illucens (black soldier fly). Its description in RNAcentral is "glycogen phosphorylase, transcript variant X1". The record is from RNAcentral. Lineage: Eukaryota; Metazoa; Arthropoda; Insecta; Diptera; Stratiomyidae.
CGCUGGCAGAAUACUCGCGGUUGGAUCUUUGGCGUAAUUAGGCACGAGUGUGAGUCCGUACCGUUUUGUGUAUUCUCCAAAUUCAAUUUUCCAUCCGGCGACAGACCUCGUUCAUAGCUUGAGCAGCACUUCAGGCAGGUGCAGCGUUCAGUUUAAGAGGCCGGGGCCAGUUCAGUUUCAGUCACAAUUUUGUGUUCGAGGACUUUCUCGCCGAAGAGACUGAAUUGUCUUUGCUUGGACUAAAUUGCAUUACGAAAUCCUUCUUGCGGGUGUGAAGCAAUUCGACACAGAAUAUUGUGCUAGUGGGCUCCGUUUCAGUUCUAGUGUGAGAUAUCGAGCCUUCGCCAAGUGUUCUAAAUUAAGACAUAACUGAGUGCGUUUCGAGGUGUCAUAGUGCGUGUGGAUUUGAUUUUGGGGAAAAGUUAGAGUAGCGCCAGCAGGAGCCAUGUCGAAGCCGCAGUCUGAUAUCGACAAGAGGAAGCAGAUUAGUGUCCGCGGGAUCGCCCAAGUGGAGGAUGUGACUGAGGUGAAGAAGACCUUCAACCGACACUUGCAUUACACCCUCGUCAAGGAUCGUAAUGUGGCCACCCCGCGGGACUACUACUUCGCUUUGGCGCACACUGUCAAGGACCACUUGGUCGGGCGUUGGAUCCGCACCCAACAACAUUACUAUGAGAAGGACCCUAAGCGAGUUUAUUACCUGUCCUUGGAAUAUUACAUGGGCCGUUCACUGCAGAACACCAUGAUUAACUUGGGGAUCCAAGGUGCUUGCGACGAAGCUAUGUACCAGGUUGGACUCGACAUUGAGGAGCUGGAAGAACUGGAAGAGGAUGCUGGAUUGGGUAAUGGUGGCUUGGGACGUUUAGCUGCUUGCUUCUUGGAUUCGAUGGCAACCCUUGGAUUGGCUGCUUAUGGUUAUGGCAUUCGUUACGAAUACGGUAUUUUCGCACAGAAAAUUAAGAAUGGCGAACAAGUUGAAGAGCCAGAUGAUUGGUUGCGUUUUGGCAACCCUUGGGAGAAAGCACGUCCUGAAUUUAUGUUGCCGAUCAACUUUUAUGGACGUGUAAUGGAUACACCUGAAGGAAAGAAAUGGGUUGAUACACAAAUUGUUUAUGCCAUGCCAUACGACAACCCAAUUCCAGGAUAUGGAAACAAUCAUGUCAAUACUCUUAGGUUAUGGUCAGCAAAGAGUCCUAUUGAUUUCAAUUUGAAGUUCUUCAACGAUGGUGACUACAUUCAAGCCGUCCUUGAUCGUAAUUUGGCUGAGAAUAUCUCCCGUGUCCUCUAUCCCAACGACAACUUCUUCGAGGGCAAAGAAUUGCGAUUGAAACAAGAAUACUUUAUGUGUGCCGCUACUUUGCAGGAUAUUAUUCGUCGUUACAAAUCAUCGAAAUUCGGCACUCGCGAAGCCGUCCGUCAAGACUUCAAGCACUUCCCCGACAAGGUUGCUAUCCAAUUGAACGAUACUCAUCCAUCCCUAGCCAUUCCGGAAUUAAUGAGAAUCUUGGUCGAUGUUGAGAAACUUCCAUGGGACGAGGCUUGGGAUGUGACCGUACGAACUUGUGCCUACACAAAUCACACUGUUUUGCCUGAAGCUUUAGAACGCUGGCCUGUAUCUAUGUUGGAAUCUAUUUUGCCAAGACAUUUACAAAUUAUUUAUCAUAUUAAUUUCUUGCACAUGGAAAAUGUCAAGAAAAAGUUCCCAGGCGAUUUGGACCGUAUGCGUCGUAUGUCUUUAGUUGAAGAGGACGGUGAGAAGCGCAUCAACAUGGCUCACUUGUCUAUUGUUGGGUCUCAUGCUGUUAAUGGUGUAGCGGCUAUUCACUCUGAAAUUAUUAAACAGGAAAUCUUCAAGGACUUCUAUGAAAUGGAACCCCAGAAAUUCCAAAAUAAAACAAACGGUAUCACUCCACGUCGCUGGCUGUUACUUUGCAAUCCUGGCUUGGCUGAUAUUAUCUGUGAGAAAAUUGGUGAAGAAUGGCCUGUGCAUCUUGAUCAAUUAGUUGCUUUGAAGAAGUGGGCCAAGGAUCCACAAUUCCAACGCGCUGUAGCUAAGGUUAAGCAAGAAAACAAAUUGAAACUCGCACAAAUUCUUGAAAAGGAUUACGGAGUUAAAGUGAACCCUGCCUCGAUGUUCGAUAUCCAAGUGAAACGUAUCCACGAAUACAAGCGUCAACUCCUGAACUGCCUCCACAUCAUCACUCUCUACAAUAGAAUUAAGAAAGAUCCCACCGCUAACUUUACUCCUCGCACAAUUAUGAUUGGUGGCAAGGCUGCGCCAGGUUACUACAUGGCUAAGCAAAUCAUUAAACUCAUUUGCGCUGUCGGCAAUGUUGUCAAUAAUGAUCCUAUUGUUGGCGAAAAAUUGAAAGUAAUCUUCUUAGAGAACUACCGCGUUACUUUGGCUGAAAAAAUCAUGCCAGCCGCUGAUUUGUCUGAACAAAUCUCCACUGCGGGUACAGAAGCGUCUGGUACUGGUAACAUGAAGUUCAUGUUGAACGGUGCAUUGACAAUCGGUACUUUGGAUGGUGCCAACGUAGAAAUGGCUGAAGAAAUGGGCAGAGACAAUAUCUUCAUUUUCGGUAUGACUGUGGAGGAAGUCGAGGCCUUGAAGCAGAAGGGCUACAAUGCCUAUGAUUAUUAUAACAGCAACCCAGACAUCAGGCAAUGCAUCGAUCAAAUCCAAGGUGGAUUCUUCAGCCCCGGUAAUCCUAACGAAUUUAAGAAUAUCGCUGAUGUAUUAUUGAAGUAUGAUCGCUUCUUCUUGCUGGCCGAUUAUGAGGCGUAUAUUAAAGCACAAGAUCUCGUUUCAAAAACUUACCAGAAUCAAUCGAAAUGGCUUGAAAUGGCAAUCCAUAACAUCGCAUCAAGUGGCAAAUUCUCCAGCGAUCGUACUAUUGCUGAAUACGCCCGCGAGAUCUGGGGAGUUGAACCCACUUGGGAAAAACUCGCGGCCCCGCAUGAAAUUAGCAACUAGAUGUUUACUCUAUUUUGAUAUCUUAUUCUACGUUUUUUGUAAAGUUUUUGUUUUCUAUUGUUGUCGAAACCAAAGAAAUUGGAUAUUGAGAAAAACACAAAUAACUAAACUUUAAAAUUGAAUGACAAAUUUAGAAAAAAAAAUUUAAAGUAUAAAUAAAGAUAGGUCAAAUUAAUUUAUAUGAAUUGAAAGUUUUAAAGUCAUCAACUACCUGAUAGCGCAGUAAAGAGAUCCGAAAGCUACAUGAAAGCAAAGUCCCACUGCCAAAAUUCGUCAUACGAAUUCAGUUUUCUUUUCAGUGUUUUUAAAAGUCAAGGCAUAAGCUUCAAAUCAACUAUCGAGUUAAGUAAAAAAUGGUGAAUACUAAGAUACAAAUUCUGCAAAUGUAUGAUAAAUUGUCGACAAACGAAACGGGUAAAUAAUUCUUAUAAAGUAAUUAAUCCACAGACAGAAAAUCCCGCAAAACGUUGACCUUAUCGAAUCUGAAUAUUUUUACAAUGGAACGCGCUUUUAAUUUCCUAAUAAAAUACAAACGCAUAAACUCAAACAGAAGAAACAGAUCCUAUUACCAUUGUAACUAUCACUAAAAAAUAAAGAAGAGAUUAUAAAACUGUUAUUGUAUAUUCGAAUUUUAUUCAUUUGUUAUUAAAAUAAAUUAAAUGUGAAAAGAAAA